Molecule: ribosomal RNA, 465 nt
Filed under: uncultured bacterium
Lineage: Bacteria
Description: bacterial SSU rRNA
Rfam family: Bacterial small subunit ribosomal RNA
Source: RNAcentral
UGGGCUUGACAUCCCACGGACCUGGUGAAAGCCGGGAGUGCCCGCAAGGGAGCGCAGAGACAGGUGGUGCAUGGCUGUCGUCAGCUCGUGUCGUGAGAUGUUGGGUUAAGUCCCGCAACGAGCGCAACCCUCACCCUUGUUGCCAUCAGGUUAUGCUGGGCACUCUAAGGGAACUGCCUCGGUUAACGAGGAGGAAGGUGGGGAUGACGUCAAGUCAUCAUGCCCCUUACGCUCUGGGCUACACACGUGCUACAAUGGCCAAUACAAAGGGCUGCAAACCCGCGAGGGCAAGCCAAUCCCAAAAAAUUGGUCUCAGUUCAGAUUGUAGGCUGCAACCCGCCUGCAUGAAGGAGGAAUCGCUAGUAAUCGUGGAUCAGCAUGCCACGGUGAAUACGUUCCCGGGCCUUGUACACACCGCCCGUCACACCACGAAAGUCUGCUGUACUCGAAGUCGCUGAGAAUCUC